UACAGAGGGGGCAAGCGUUGUUCGGAAUUACUGGGCGUAAAGGGCGCGUAGGCGGCCUUCUAAGUCGAACGUGAAGUCCCCGGGCUCAACCCGGGAACUGCGUCCGAUACUGGAAGGCUUGAAUCCGGGAGAGGGAUGCGGAAUUCCAGGUGUAGCGGUGAAAUGCGUAGAUAUCUGGAGGAACACCGGUGGCGAAGGCGGCAUCCUGGACCGGUAUUGACGCUGAGGCGCGAAAGCCAGGGGAGCAAACGGG
Molecule: ribosomal RNA, 253 nt
Filed under: uncultured bacterium
Lineage: Bacteria
Description: partial 16S ribosomal RNA
Rfam family: Bacterial small subunit ribosomal RNA
Source: RNAcentral